This 384-nucleotide ribosomal RNA is filed under the name uncultured bacterium. Its description in RNAcentral is "bacterial SSU rRNA". It matches the Rfam family "Bacterial small subunit ribosomal RNA", at positions 127 to 506 of the family's 1533-position model. The record is from RNAcentral.
UGCCCACAGGCGCGGGACAACCACGGGAAACCGUGGCUAAUACCGCACGUCGUCUGGAGCCCGCAUGGGCACCAGAUGAAACCCUGCGAGGGGGCCUUUGGAUGGGUCUGCGUCGGAUUAGCUUGUUGGUGAGGUAACGGCUCACCAAAGUGACGAUCCGUAGCUGGUCUGAGAGGACGAUCAGCCACACUGGGACUGAGACACGGCCCAGACUCCUACGGGAGGCAGCAGUGGGGAAUCUUGCACAAUGGGGGAAACCCUGAUGCAGCCAUGCCGCGUGGAGGAAGACACCCCUAUGGGGCGUAAACUCCUUUUCUGAGAGAAGAAACCUCUGUAGGUUCAGAGUGUGACGGUAUCUCAGGAAUAAGCACCGGCUAACUCCGU